Molecule: ribosomal RNA, 450 nt
Filed under: uncultured Glomeromycotina
Lineage: Eukaryota; Fungi; Glomeromycota
Description: SSU rRNA
Rfam family: Eukaryotic small subunit ribosomal RNA
Source: RNAcentral
AGCAGCCGCGGUAAUUCCAGCUCCAAUAGCGUAUAUUAAAGUUGUUGCAGUUAAAAAGCUCGUAGUUGAAUUUCGGGAUUGGCGCAUCGGUCGUGCCUCACGGGGUAUGAACUGGUGCAGUCAAUUUCUCACCUUCUGGAGAACCGCGAUGUCCUUAAUUGGAUGCCGCGGGGAACCAGGACCUUUACUUUGAAAAAAUUGAGUGUUUAAAGCAGGCAUUUUUGCUUGGAUACAUUAGCAUGGAAUAAUAAAAUAGGACGGCAUGGUUCUAUUUUGUUGGUUUCUAGGACCACCGUAAUGAUUAAUAGGGAUAGUUGGGGGCAUUAGUAUUCAAUUGUCAGAGGUGAAAUUCUUGGAUUUAUUGAGGACUAACUACUGCGAAAGCAUUUGCCAAGGAUGUUUUCAUUAAUCAAGAACGAAAGUUAGGGAUCGAAGACGAUCAGAUACCGU